Molecule: small nuclear RNA, 89 nt
Filed under: Erinaceus europaeus (western European hedgehog)
Lineage: Eukaryota; Metazoa; Chordata; Mammalia; Eulipotyphla; Erinaceidae
Source: RNAcentral
UUGGUCCCAAAAUUGGAGUGAUAAAAAUAAGAUUAGCAUGGCACCUGCACAGGGAUGAGAUAAGCAUUCUAUAUCCAUUCCAUAUAAAG